AGCAGUCGCCACGGUAAUACAGAGGGUGCGAGCGUUAAUCGGAUUUACUGGGCGUAAAGCGUGCGUAGGCGGCUUCUUAAGUCGGAUGUGAAAUCCCUGAGCUUAACUUAGGAAUUGCAUUCGAUACUGGGAAGCUAGAGUAUGGGAGAGGAUGGUAGAAUUCCAGGUGUAGCGGUGAAAUGCGUAGAGAUCUGGAGGAAUACCGAUGGCGAAGGCAGCCAUCUGGCCUAAUACUGACGCUGAGGUACGAAAGCAUGGGGAGCAAACAGGAUUAGAUACCCCGGUAGUCCCUGUCUCUUAUAA
Molecule: ribosomal RNA, 303 nt
Filed under: uncultured bacterium
Lineage: Bacteria
Description: partial 16S ribosomal RNA
Rfam family: Bacterial small subunit ribosomal RNA
Source: RNAcentral